CAUCUUUGCACCUGUCAGUCUGCCACAGUCCAAGUCUUUCUUCAGCUCCUGGGGUAGCUUCCCUAAGCUGAGCGAUGAGCCUCAAAACCCUCCUCCGCUUCCUCCUCG
Tinamus guttatus (white-throated tinamou) is the source of this 108-nucleotide non-coding RNA. NCBI's taxonomy places the organism in Eukaryota, Metazoa, Chordata, Aves, Tinamiformes, Tinamidae. The record is from RefSeq and is a predicted model, not a curated record.